This 495-nucleotide ribosomal RNA is filed under the name uncultured bacterium. Its description in RNAcentral is "partial 16S ribosomal RNA". It matches the Rfam family "Bacterial small subunit ribosomal RNA", at positions 28 to 507 of the family's 1533-position model. The record is from RNAcentral.
GACGAACGCUGGCGGCGUGCCUAAUACAUGCAAGUAGAACGCUGAAGGAGGAGCUUGCUUCUCUGGAUGAGUUGCGAACGGGUGAGUAACGCGUAGGUAACCUGCCUGGUAGCGGGGGAUAACUAUUGGAAACGAUAGCUAAUACCGCAUAAUAGUAGAUGUUGCAUGACAUUUGCUUAAAAGGUGCAAUUGCAUCACUACCAGAUGGACCUGCGUUGUAUUAGCUAGUUGGUGAGGUAACGGCUCACCAAGGCGACGAUACAUAGCCGACCUGAGAGGGUGAGCGGCCACACUGGGACGGAGACACGGCCCAGACUCCUACGGGAGGCAGCAGUAGGGAAGCGUCGGCAAUGGACGGAAGACUGACCGAGCAACGCCGCGUGAGUGAAGAAGGGUUUCGGAUCGUAAAGCUCUGUUGUAAGAGAAGAACGAGUGUGAGAGUGGAAAGUUCACACUGUGACGGUAUCUUACCAGAAAGGGACGGCUAACUACGUG